GGGCCCGGACGACCGGCCUGGCGUGAACCCUUUUGCGGGACGACCCGC
This 48-nucleotide non-coding RNA is filed under the name Aeromonas sp. Its description in RNAcentral is "Guanidine-II sequence". It matches the Rfam family "Guanidine-II riboswitch aptamer (mini-ykkC)". From Rfam's summary of the family: Simpler in structure and has fewer highly conserved nucleotide positions than the ykkC-yxkD leader. Despite this each of its two stem-loop structures directly bind free guanidine. The record is from RNAcentral. Lineage: Bacteria; Pseudomonadati; Pseudomonadota; Gammaproteobacteria; Aeromonadales; Aeromonadaceae.